AUCUUUUUAGUAUAUUAGUACAUUUGCCUUCCAAGUAAAAAGUUUAGAGACCUAAAAAAGAUA
Molecule: transfer RNA, 63 nt
Filed under: Pygmaeconus traillii
Lineage: Eukaryota; Metazoa; Mollusca; Gastropoda; Neogastropoda; Conidae
Description: tRNA-Gly
Rfam family: tRNA
About the family: Transfer RNA (tRNA) molecules are approximately 80 nucleotides in length. Their secondary structure includes four short double-helical elements and three loops (D, anti-codon, and T loops).
Source: RNAcentral